RNAcentral lists this long non-coding RNA (6696 nucleotides) under Sus scrofa (pig). RNAcentral's name for it is "lncRNA (ENSSSCG00015031190.1)". The record is from RNAcentral. Lineage: Eukaryota; Metazoa; Chordata; Mammalia; Artiodactyla; Suidae.
CAGAAAUGAGAACUGAAUGGGAGUUAUAAUUGCAUCUACUGUGAAUCAAAAUCCCUUAAGUUAUAAAUUUGUAAGAAUGAUUCUCUAGCAUAAAAUGGAUUUGGAGUCAGAAAACAUAAGUACUCUCUGAGUUCUACUAUCUAUUUGUUCCAUAAUCAUUGGCCAAUUUUUCAACUUUUAUUAGCCCUUUUCAAGAAGAUAAUGAAAUUUACUUCAUACAAUUAUAGUGAGGAAUAAAUGAGUCAUAUAUAUUUAAUAAAACACUUAUCUUGUUCCUUGCAGAUACUCACUGAAAGCUAGGAGAAUCUGAGAUGAAAGUGCAGCUUCAGAGUUAAAAAGGCAAACUAGAAGUCUUUGAAGAGAAGUAGGAAUAAGCCAGAAAAAUGUUAGGAGAAAUAACUUCCACAGUACAACUAACUCCGUCACCGAAUGGGCUGCACUUGGAGCUCGUGAGGCCUUCAGUGGAAAGAUGUUUGAGAGUCGCAUGACAACCGUGUUGAGAUUGCAUUAGACUGGAGAAUCAUCAAAGACAUCUCCAAUCCCAAGAGUCAGUGGUCUGUGCAAAUGUUAGUCUGACCACUUGGCAGAUAAACAUUUAUUCUACCAGAAAGCCCUAGACCAGAAUGUUUAAACGUUGGGACUCUAGAAUUGAGACUGUCUGCACUCACAUACUGACACAGUCUCUUCAUGAUUAUAUGAAUUUGGGAUAAUUAUAUGACCUCUCUGAAGUUCAGCUUUCUUAUCUGAUACAUGGUACUAAGAAUGUCUAUUGGAGUGAAGAUGAAAUGAAAUAGUACAUGUUAUGGCCUUAGCAGAGUGGCUAUCGCAUAGUAGCAGAUCUCCGUAAUUACCACUGUUUUAUCAUUUUUAAUCUGUCAACUUGGUGGCACUGAUAGACCAAGGCUAACUCUAUCUAAAUCACUAUGUAAGGAAACUUGCAAAGGCUAAGUGUAGAAAUAAAUGUGACUGAAAAAUGAGGCAGGGUAAGGAAGUAAGUAGUUUAUAAAAAUAAAUGCAUAAAAUGUCAUUCAUAUUAAACAAAAUAUAGUGAUCCAGAGACAGCCAGCCUUUAUGAUGCAGCUUUAGUAGAAGCAUACCCAGUGUGUACCAAAUCCAUACUUUGCCUAAAUUUACAAAUAUUUACAUUGCUGAUCUCUUAAAAUUACUAGCAUUCUGGUGUAUGACUGAAUCUACAGAUUGUCUCAUGAAUGCGUAAUCAUUACUGCUGGUUAUUGCAGUUCUGUUCCGCUAAAUAUAGUUUGUAGCUUCUUUUCUUCCUUAACCUCAUCUAAAGUAUAGAAACUUGAGCCACUUAUUCUAAUGGCUUAAAAUUUAUCCUAGUCUAAGUUAAGGAACCCAUAAAAAUAACUAUAGUAUAUUGACUGACAACUGUUGUUUUAAAAUAGAAAUUCAAGUAUUAAAAUUAGAUUGAAUUUGCCAUUCACCAAUUAGAUAAUGCCAUAGGGUUGAAUAAUCCGUUAGCCAAUUUAUAAAGCCAGCUGUCCAAGUUCCACUAACUUGGAACUUGGUGCCAGUGCACUGUGAAUUUCACAUUCAUCAGAGAAUAUAUUAUUCCUCUUAAUUUUAAAAUUUGAGCAAUUACCAAAAGCUUUACAGCAAAACUCUUAAUACAUGUUAACUUAAACAUUUAAUUUCAGAAGUAAUAAAAAUGAAAAAUUAAGUGGUAUGAGUAAAAUAGAGAGUAUUUUCCCUACUAGUAACUGAGGGAGAAAUCUGUGAAAAAGAUAAGUCACAAGCUUCUGUUCUGAGUCCAACAGUUCUAUAAGUGAGAGUAGUAUUCUGAAAAAAAGUAUCUUGAAUGUAAAAAUCUUAAACUUGAGAAGUCUGAGAGUUAAAAAUUAAACAAGCAAUUGGUUGUCUUCCUCAUCUCAACUGUGCAUGAAGGAAAGGACAAUCAGUAAACAAUGAAGCCCUGUACCAAAUAUGGCGUUAAUGACCACAGGCAAUACCUAGCAUCACGCUGGGAAGCAAAUUGGUAGUCAUUGGAGACUGCUGAGUCUUGGUGAGAUAUUCCCUGAGGCUAAAACCAAUCAGCAGUCAGGCUACUCUAUACCCCACGAAGCCGAAGAGUGGUUUCCAGGGGUAACCUCUUUGAGAGCACAUUUGAAUAAUCUAAUUUGGAAUUUUAAAAGUGGGGGGAAUGGUGGGAGAAUCACAUGCUAACUGGCACCACUCCUUAAACUGCAAUAGAAGGGCUCUCACAUCUGAAACAGUUUAUGAGGCAUGUUUUAAACAAAACCAGUGUUGCAUAAACUGUUUGAUAUUGUACAAAUACAAAAUUCAUUUCCACUGCUCUUUUCUCUUCUCUAAAGAUGAGUCUACCUCUUCCCUGCGUACUUGAAAGGCCACCCUUUGUUUCUGGAAAUAAUGAAGCGGAUGGCUAUCAUUAUCCUUAGUAGCAUUAAAGAGAUUUCAGAAAUUAAAGAACUAAAAAUUUACAAACUCUCAUGUGUUCAUUGUGUUAGGAGUUGGCUGUUUCUAUUUGUAUAAGGAAUAUUUAUGAAACAUUUAUAAAAUAUAUAUGAAACAUAUUGUGCCUAAGAAGCAUGGUCUUAGCCUUCACAGAGUGCAUAUUAUUUUCUUCAAGAGGAGUUAAAGGCAAGUCAUGUUGAGACCUUUAACAGAGCAGUGUUUCUUCUUUCAGAGGACUCAUCCUCCAAAGGGGAGAAGUAAGCAAAAUGUCCAUGCUAUGAAACCUGUUCAGGCUAUUAAGUUGCCUUUUCAAAGACGAGUGCUUUUGUGAUACACUCAAAUGAAUGCCACACUAGCUGCAAGUGUUGCCCAUUCAGUGGAGAAAGAGUUAUUUGAACUAUUUGAAGUUAUUUCACAUAAAUAAAUAAAUACUCAAGCUUCAAGAGAAGUAGAAUUUAGGAAAUUAAAGAGCAUUACAAAUAAGAUAUUUUUUUAGUUCACUGAGCUUCCUGAAAGAAUCAAGUGUUCGUUCUAAAAGUGUGCCAUUUAUUCCUAGGCAAGAUAUUUAUUUAUUCCUAAAAAGCAUAUAGUAUAUCUUUGAUUUAUCAUGAAUGAUAUAUGAGCUUGGACGGGGGUAGAGCUGAGACAGAAACAAGGGACUAUGCAGGUCUUGAGAUGUGUGAGAGCUAUCAAAAAUAGGACAUUAUAGAAAAAUCCAGGUUAUUAGGAAAAAAUGAGAGUUGGCUGCUAAUACCAAGUAUUAAAAGAGUUUAGAUUUCAGAGUUCCCACUGUGGCACAGUGGGUUAAGAAUUCAACUGCAGCAGCUCGGGUUGCUACAGAGGCACAGGAUCCACCCCCAGCCUGGUGCAGUGGGUUAAAGGAUCAAGGUUUGCCACAGCUGUGGUGUAGGUCUCAGGUGUGGCUUGGAUCCAAUCCCUGGCCGGGGAACUUCCAUAGGCUAUGGGUGAGGCCGUUGAAAAGCAGGGUGGUGCUUAGGUUUCAGAACAGGUCUCUAGACUAAUGGAGAGAGUACAGCACUGACCAGAUUUAAACAAUGGCUGUAUUCCAGCAGGCAGCUAUAUAGUUCAAUAUGUGUUCCAAAAACAGUGCUAGAUAUUGUGUGCAAAGAAAAAUAAAUAUGUAUGACCUUUGAUUUAGAAGGGUCUGCCAUAAAAGCUUAGAAAAACCAUCAAGUUACGGGACCUAAGAGGCAAGGUGGUAGAAUGAUAACGGACAACAAAAGAUGGGAAUCAGACAAAUCAGUCCAUUUGUCUCUAUCAAACUGGAAGAGAGUUUUAUGUCUUUUACCUCACAUUAAUUUGCUUUUCACAUUAAUUAAUGUUGCUCACAUUGCUUUGAUAUAAUUGCGUCCACUAUCCAGAGUCAAAAGCAGAUUCACAAGUCAAUGAAGAGUCAACGGAUACAAAAAAGAAAAUAAAAUAUAUAAAUACAAAGACUGAAGGAUGCACCAACAUCUUAAAACUUUGAGAGCAUCUUAGAGACCAUGGGUGGAUGGUUUAUGAUUAUAUUUCUCUAAGAAUGAUAAACUUAUUUAUAUGCAUGGAUACUUUAUGUGAAUCCUAUGAGUGAUGUUCCAAGAAAUAAAUUUUAGAAAAAAAUUAGUCCUUAAAAAUGAUAAACUAUACUUCCCACAGUAAUAUUUGUUUUGUUUAAUUUUUGAACAAGUUUAAAUUACUGAUGAAAUUAAUUUCCUACUAGUUAUCAGGAAAAUGAAAAAUAAUUUAGUACCAACAGCAUGCACAAUAAAAUAAUUGCGUCUCAAUGAACUUUCUAAGCUAAAGAGAAAUUACGUUUUAAUACUGUCUACUCUUAUUUGGUUUAAAUACCUGUAAAGAAACAGAAAAUAAUGGUUAAAUCUAUCUAUUAAGCAUUUUCAUUUCCUAGUAAGGUAAAUAUUACAUAUAAUAGGAUUAUGAAAUACUUAAAGAUAUAGAAUUUCCUUUUUCUGAGAAACAGUGUGAAAUUGUCAGUAUAGUGAAGCCACCUCUGGUUUAAAUUAAUGAUUGUUUUAUUGGCCAUGCAUUCUUCAGGCUGACACUAUAAUUACCUCAUUAACAGUAUAAAUCUUGCUUUAUUUUUGAUCUCAUAAAAAGAUAAUACAUUGAUAAUUCUAUCAUAUGAUGUUUUAAAAUGCAUGUCUUUAGUAUUAUUCUCUUAGAAAUAAAGGUAAUAUUUCAUGGACAAUAAAAGAAAAUUGUUUUAUGUGGAGUCAUGUUAUCUUUAAUAAUUUUUUUUUUUUUUUUUGGCUUUUCCAGGGCUGCACCCGUGGCAUAUGGAGGUUCCCAGACAAGGGGUCUAAUCAGAGCUGAAGCCUCCGCCUACGCCAGAGCCACAGCAACGUAGGAUCUGAGCUGAAUCUGCUACCUACUCCACAGCUCACAGCACCACACCACAGCACUGACCUUCACCAUGGCACUGACCUUCACCACAGCACUGACCUACACCACAGCUCACAGCUCAGGUCGCAGACCCACUGAGUGAGGCCAGGGAUCGAACCUGCAACCUCAUGGUUCCUAGUCGGAUUCACUGACCACUGAGCCACGACGGGAACUCCAAUCUUUAAUAAAUUUAAUGAGGUAUACUUUAUAUGUGGUAAAAUACAGUUUAGGUAAACAUUUUGAUGAAGUUGAACAAAUUCAUACACUUGACUAACCAUUACAUUCUAUUUACAAAACUUUCAUUGAAAAAUUUUUUGGUAUCAUCUCACAGACAACACCUACCUUCUCUCCUAUCCUAGGACCAGGCAGCCAUCUAUUUACUCUUAUUUUGUGUUAGACUUAUCUUUGCUAAAAUGUCAUAUACACUGGAAUCAUUCAGUUUGUAUUCUUUUAUAUCUUAUUGUGAGCAGCAUAUUUUCUUAAUUUUUUUUGUUGUAUGUAUCAAUAAUUUAAGUGCUGAAGAUCCCAUUGAAUGGAUAAACUGCAAUGAAUUGCAAAUUCACCUCUUCAUGGACAUUUGUUUGAAGUGAGAUUAUACUGAAUACACUUGAUAUAAAUAUCGCUAUGCAAGACUGUGAGCAAAUAUGACAAUUUCACUGCAGUAAAAUUCUAAGAUGGGCCAUAGUGGAAGUACGUGUUUUUAGGAACUCCCAAGCAGUUGGCCAAAUUGACUGUGUAUUUCACAUUCCUUCUAGGAAUGUUUGAGACCACUCACACCUCCCCCCUUCAAUACUUACUCUGGAGUUUUCUCAUUUUAGUUAUUAUAAAGGGUAGAUAGAAGUACCUCACUUUUGUGUUAAUUUUCAUUUCACUUAUGGGUAAUGCGGUUGGAGUAUGUUCAUGUGGUUACUGAUCAUAUAUAUAGCUUCCUUUGUGAGGUGACCAUUUAAAUCUUUGAACAUAUUUUUUACCUUUUUUGUCUUGUUAUUGAUUUAUGAAAGCAAUUUAUUUUAGAUUCAAGGCUGGUAAAUAUACAGGACUUUUAUUCUGUGACUUGACUAUUCAUUUGCUUAGAAUUUUUUUUGAAGAGCAAAAAUUUAUUUUGAUAGAGCUUGAAGUCUACUCUGUCAAUUUUUGCUCUUUUAUUGAACAUGUAGUUUGUGAUCUAAGAAGUCUUUAAUUAUUCUAAGGGUAAAAAAAGAGUCUGACUCAUUAUUCUAUGUGUACUGACAGUUUUUAAGUCUUACUUCUCUGUCCUCCCAUUGUGCUUCAUAUCUGAGCUAGUUGAUAAGAAGCCCGGAUGCAUUCUCCUUUAGCAUCCCUAAGAAGUUCAAACACUGUAAGUGAACCCUAACCCUGGCCCAACUCUAUCUAUCAUAAAAACACCAAGACAAUCUCCUUUCCUGGCUUUCUCAAGCUAUUUUGGGACUGGAUUAGUAAACCUAUCCUGUUCUCUCCAAAAAUCUUGUCAUAUGACUCAUAAGCUGUAUGUACACUUUAAAUAUGUUUAUGUGGUGUUAUUAGCCUUGACCUUUGAAUCAUAUUUGUAGCAGGGUCCAUUCUGAUUGGAGUGGCUUAUAACCUCAAGUCUGGUAACAUUUCUUUCUGUAUUUCCAUCUCAAAAUUUGAGUAGUUUUAACUUUAGGUUUCAAUUUCUUGUCCAUUUUGAAUUAGAUAUACAUAUGUAAUGGAUUAAGGUAUAGAUCCAUUUUUAUUAAGAUAUAGUUCACAUAUGAUAAAAUUCAUUUUUUAAAACAUGCAAUUUGAUGGUCUUUAGCAUAUUCACACAAUAUUGGGUAGCUAUUCCCCACUCUCUAAUUCCAGAACAUUUUCAUCACUAUCAGAAAAAAAAAGAAAAAAAAA